This 743-nucleotide long non-coding RNA is filed under the name Naja naja (Indian cobra). Its description in RNAcentral is "lncRNA (ENSNNAG00000016571.1)". Lineage: Eukaryota; Metazoa; Chordata; Lepidosauria; Squamata; Elapidae. The record is from RNAcentral.
AAUUUUUAUAAACCUGACAUCAUUUAAUGUUUUCUUUUCCUUUAUUUUUGCAUUCACUUUUUCAGCUGGACAUGCCUAAUGAUCAGAUACUUGCCAAUCUGGACAGUAUUAUUAAAGACAUUUGCAAACACAAAUCUUCAAAGCAUGAAGAUUGUCCUGUUGUGGUUCGCCGGCAGCAGGUGCAGAUGGCUGAGGUCUCGGAGAGCGAGGACUCAGAUGAGGGGCCUGCGUGUGAUGCAGGGAUGGCACCAGGACCAUCAGGGAGUAGAAGGCUGCCUUCGGAGAUUGUGGAGGCUGGCAGCAGUGAUGAAGAGGCCCCUGAAGAGCCUGUGCCCAGAGCGCAUGCACGCAGGGCUGCUCGAAGGGAAGAACAGCUGUAGCAGCACAGGUGACUUGGGAGUAAGGCUGCAAGCCCUCCCUUAAGAGAUAAAAGCCAGCUGAGAAACUGGAGUUCUUUGCAGGAAGCAAAGAAGUUUUUGCACUCAAGCCUUGUGGACGUUCGGAUUAUCUUGGUUGGUGUUUGGAAACUCUUUGUGUUUGAAAUAUUUCUUAGUAACUUUAUCUAGUGUUCUUGGCAGCCUUGCACAACCUUGGCAAGGCUUGUUCUUAUCAGAGACAAUUAGUUUGAAACAGCCUUUUAACUGUGAAGGGAUGGAAUUCGUAAAGAAUAAUUAAAAGGCUUUGCUGUUACCUCUGUUUCAUGUUUGUUUCCUUGGAACAAGGUUUGGGUCAGAACAUGUCCC